Molecule: long non-coding RNA, 203 nt
Filed under: Cucumis sativus (cucumber)
Lineage: Eukaryota; Viridiplantae; Streptophyta; Magnoliopsida; Cucurbitales; Cucurbitaceae
Description: long non-coding RNA (CSAT_LNC000164)
Source: RNAcentral
AAUAGAGGUGUUUUCAAAUGUUGAAGGACUUUUGCCUCUUUUAUCAUUUUCAUCAUCUCAACAAAAGAAAAAAAAACUUUCCAAUCCCAUUUUAUCUCCAUUACUUUCUACACCAAAAUUGGGUCCCACAACCCGGUUGUUUGUCUAGAGGAUAGCAGUUGAGUACUAGUGGUGGUCUCGGUUAGAAUUGGUAAGAAGAUAUC